Molecule: non-coding RNA, 375 nt
Organism: Arachis ipaensis
Lineage: Eukaryota; Viridiplantae; Streptophyta; Magnoliopsida; Fabales; Fabaceae
Source: RefSeq, a predicted model, not a curated record
UAUUUUCCGAAUUUUUAGAGAAGAGCCUUCAUGGUUUCUGUGAUUCUCUUUCUUCAAAAGGAAUCACCUUGAUCCCCAAAUCAGAAGCUGCAGACAGUGAAGUUACUGAAGAUGAAGCAAGAAGUUUCUUAGUCAAAUCUCAGCCAAAAGUUUGAAUGAUUACUUAACUGGAUGUGUUGAAAUAUUUAGGUCCUUUCUUUCUUGUAUAAGCAUCUCUGUUAGGCUACUGUAACAAUACAUUGUAAAUAUUAUUUGUACUCUAGCCUUAGAUUACUGCACUUGAUUUUCUUCAUUAGAAACAAAGAUUUUAACCCUUAUUGCCCUAUUUCACUUAGAUAUUAUUAUUGAAAUCCCUUAAUACAGUUAAACACUGAA